AGUGAACGCUGGCGGUAGGCCUAACACAUGCAAGUCGAACGGCAGCACAGUAAGAGCUUGCUCUUACGGGUGGCGAGUGGCGGACGGGUGAGGAAUACAUCGGAAUCUACUUUUUCGUGGGGGAUAACGUAGGGAAACUUACGCUAAUACCGCAUACGACCUACGGGUGAAAGCAGAGGAUCUUCGGACCUUGCGCGAUUGAAUGAGCCGAUGUCGGAUUAGCUAGUUGGCGGGGUAAAGGCCCACCAAGGCGACGAUCCGUAGCUGGUCUGAGAGGAUGAUCAGCCACACUGGAACUGAGACACGGUCCAGACUCCUACGGGAGGCAGCAGUGGGGAAUAUUGGACAAUGGGCGCAAGCCUGAUCCAGCCAUACCGCGUGGGUGAAGAAGGCCUUCGGGUUGUAAAGCCCUUUUGUUGGGAAAGAAAAGCAGCAGGUUAAUACCCCGCUGUUCUGACGGUACCCGAAGAAUAAGCACCGGCUAACUUCGUG
RNAcentral lists this ribosomal RNA (492 nucleotides) under uncultured bacterium. RNAcentral describes it as "partial 16S ribosomal RNA". It matches the Rfam family "Bacterial small subunit ribosomal RNA", at positions 29 to 507 of the family's 1533-position model. The record is from RNAcentral.